RNAcentral lists this ribosomal RNA (239 nucleotides) under uncultured bacterium. Its description in RNAcentral is "partial 16S ribosomal RNA". It matches the Rfam family "Bacterial small subunit ribosomal RNA", at positions 16 to 245 of the family's 1533-position model. The record is from RNAcentral.
GACCUGGCUCAGGAUGAACGCUAGCGACAGGCUUAACACAUGCAAGUCGAGGGGCAGCAUAAUUUGUAGCAAUACAGAUUGAUGGCGACCGGCGCACGGGUGAGUAACGCGUAUGCAACUUACCUAUCAGAGGGGGAUAGCCCGGCGAAAGUCGGAUUAAUACCCCAUAAAACAGGGGUCCCGCAUGGGAAUAUUUGUUAAAGAUUCAUCGCUGAUAGAUAGGCAUGCGUUCCAUUAGG